Molecule: non-coding RNA, 766 nt
Organism: Callorhinus ursinus (northern fur seal)
Lineage: Eukaryota; Metazoa; Chordata; Mammalia; Carnivora; Otariidae
Source: RefSeq, a predicted model, not a curated record
UUUCUAUUUAUUGUCCGUGGCUUUUCAGUUUUUUUAACUUAAUUUAUCUUAGACAUUUCUCUGUAUCAGUAUUUAUUAGCAAUAUCUUAUUUUUAAAAAUGACAAAUAGUGUUUUAAAUACUGUUUAAUAGUAGAAUAUUGUUUAAUAGUUCUCUACGGUUUCUUAGUAUAAUUUAUUUUGCCUUUACCCAUUUUAAGAGGUAGCUGACCAAUGGCUUUGUUAAGUUUUUUUCUCUUGAAAUAACCAUUUUGAAUUGAUUUGUUUUUCAUACUGUUUUCACAAGUUUUUGUUUUUUUUUCAUCUGAAAUCAGCUUUUGCAUUGCUGUUAGGAUGUAUUUGCCAAUGUAGUUAAUUAAAUGCAAUUGUGACAUAAAUAUUUAAAUUUAAAAGAGGAAAGAGACUAUGGCUUAUUCUUUGUAAAAUGUGCAAGGUACUCUGUCUUCUGUAUGUGAUUCUUCUAGGGCCUGCUUGUUCAACAAGUUAAUGACCCUUUUCACAGAGUUGUUUUUGAGCACGUUCACUCUGGCAGUUUCAGCUGGGGCUGUUUUGCUUUUACCCUUUUCAAUAAUCAGCAAUGAAAUCCUGCUUUCUUUUCCUCAAAACUACUAUAUUCAAUGGCUAAAUGGCUCCCUGAUUCAUGGUUAGUAUAUAUUGCUUAAUAUCACAAUGAAUGUUUUCAUUUUUUACUGCACUGUAUUUUUAGAUUUGCCUUUUCUUAAUUUCCUUCAUAAUUUGCAUCUUCCUCCAAUAAACCAUGAGUCCUUC